RNAcentral lists this transfer RNA (74 nucleotides) under Paramuricea clavata. RNAcentral's name for it is "tRNA-Ser". It matches the Rfam family "tRNA". Rfam says of the family: Transfer RNA (tRNA) molecules are approximately 80 nucleotides in length. Lineage: Eukaryota; Metazoa; Cnidaria; Anthozoa; Malacalcyonacea; Plexauridae. The record is from RNAcentral.
GCCUCUGUAGCUCAGUUAAUUAGAGCGCUGCAACGGAAUCGCAGGGCCGUAGGUUCAAUUCCUACCAGAGGACA